RNAcentral lists this ribosomal RNA (305 nucleotides) under uncultured bacterium. Its description in RNAcentral is "bacterial SSU rRNA". It matches the Rfam family "Bacterial small subunit ribosomal RNA", at positions 336 to 657 of the family's 1533-position model. The record is from RNAcentral.
UUCCUACGGGAGGCAGCAGUGGGGAAUAUUGCACAAUGGGGGAAACCCUGAUGCAGCAACGCCGCGUGAGUGAAGAAGGUUUUCGGAUUGUAAAGCUCUGUUAGCAGGGAAGAGGAAGGACGGUACCUGCAGAGGAAGCCACGGCUAACUACGUGCCAGCAGCCGCGGUAAUACGUAGGGGGCAAGCGUUAUCCGGAUUUACUGGGUGUAAAGGGAGCGUAGACGGCGAUGCAAGUCUGAAGUGAAAGCCCGGGGCUCAACCCCGGGACUGCUUUGGAAACUGUAUGGCUGGAGUGCUGGAGAGG